GCAAACUUGGUCAUUUAGAGGAAGUAAAAGUCGUAACAAGGUUUCCGUAGGUGAACCUGCGGAAGGAUCAUUAAAAAAUAGCUUUUUGCUAUAAUUUUGUCUACCUUGUGUGCAAACAAUGGAAAGAGAAAAUGGAAUUUUACAAUACUUUUUCUUCACGGAAAAGAAGUGUUAACAAAUUCUUUAUAUUUUUAUAUAAACACCAUUAAAAUUUGAAUGAAAAAUAUUUUUAAAUAAAAAUAAUUAUACAACUUUCAACAACGGAUCUCUUGGCUCUCGCAUCGAUGAAGAACGCAGC
This 298-nucleotide unclassified non-coding RNA is filed under the name uncultured fungus. Its description in RNAcentral is "partial contains small subunit ribosomal RNA, internal transcribed spacer 1, and 5.8S ribosomal RNA". The stretch from base 1 to 73 matches the Rfam family "Eukaryotic small subunit ribosomal RNA", at positions 1759 to 1831 of the family's 1831-position model. Lineage: Eukaryota; Fungi. The record is from RNAcentral.